Molecule: ribosomal RNA, 253 nt
Filed under: uncultured bacterium
Lineage: Bacteria
Description: partial 16S ribosomal RNA
Rfam family: Bacterial small subunit ribosomal RNA
Source: RNAcentral
UACGGGGGGGGCAAGCGUUGUUCGGAAUUACUGGGCGUAAAGGGCUCGUAGGCGGCCAACUAAGUCAGACGUGAAAUCCCUCGGCUUAACCGGGGAACUGCGUCUGAUACUGGAUGGCUUGAGUUUGGGAGAGGGAUGCGGAAUUCCAGGUGUAGCGGUGAAAUGCGUAGAUAUCUGGAGGAACACCGGUGGCGAAGGCGGCAUCCUGGACCAACCCUGACGCUGAGACGCGAAAGCGUGGGGAGCAAACAGG